CAAAACAUAGCUUAAAUAAAGCCUUUCGCUUACACCGAAAAAAUACCUGUAUAAUCAGAUUGUUUUGA
This 68-nucleotide transfer RNA is filed under the name Raorchestes glandulosus (southern bubble-nest frog). RNAcentral describes it as "tRNA-Val". The record is from RNAcentral. Lineage: Eukaryota; Metazoa; Chordata; Amphibia; Anura; Rhacophoridae.